UACGUUCCCGGGCCUUGUACACACCGCCCCGUCAAGCCAUGGAAGCUGGGGGUGCCUGAAGUCGGUGACCGCAAGGAGCUGCCUAGGGUAAAACUAGUAACUAGGGCU
RNAcentral lists this ribosomal RNA (108 nucleotides) under uncultured bacterium. RNAcentral's name for it is "partial 16S ribosomal RNA". It matches the Rfam family "Bacterial small subunit ribosomal RNA", at positions 1367 to 1482 of the family's 1533-position model. The record is from RNAcentral.